Molecule: microRNA, 22 nt
Filed under: Eisenia fetida (common brandling worm)
Lineage: Eukaryota; Metazoa; Annelida; Clitellata; Crassiclitellata; Lumbricidae
Description: Efe-Mir-190-P11_3p* (star (passenger))
Source: RNAcentral
ACCGAUUGUCAGACAUAUCUAG